RNAcentral lists this ribosomal RNA (405 nucleotides) under uncultured Methylocystis sp. RNAcentral describes it as "bacterial SSU rRNA". It matches the Rfam family "Bacterial small subunit ribosomal RNA", at positions 354 to 776 of the family's 1533-position model. The record is from RNAcentral. Lineage: Bacteria; Pseudomonadati; Pseudomonadota; Alphaproteobacteria; Hyphomicrobiales; Methylocystaceae.
GUGGGGAAUAUUGGACAAUGGGCGCAAGCCUGAUCCAGCCAUGCCGCGUGAGUGAUGACGGCCUUAGGGUUGUAAAGCUCUUUCGGUGGGGACGAUAAUGACGGUACCCACAGAAGAAGCCCCGGCUAACUUCGUGCCAGCAGCCGCGGUAAUACGAAGGGGGCUAGCGUUGUUCGGAAUCACUGGGCGUAAAGCGCACGUAGGCGGGUGAUUAAGUCAGGGGUGAAAUCCCGAGGCUCAACCUCGGAACUGCCUUUGAUACUGGGCAUCUUGAGUCCGGGAGAGGUGAGUGGAACUGCGAGUGUAGAGGUGAAAUUCGUAGAUAUUCGCAAGAACACCAGUGGCGAAGGCGGCUCACUGGCCCGGAACUGACGCUGAGGUGCGAAAGCGUGGGGAGCAAACAGG